UCAAUUUAAUCGUGAUUGUUUACUAAAAAUAUAAGUUGACAGAAAUUUACUUGUGUGUAGAUGAUUUUCAGUUAUCUGAAAAUAAUAUCUACAUGGAUUACUGACUAUGGGAUUUGUUUUCUUAUCCUGUAAGUUUAUAUAUGUAUCCAACCUUUCCAUAGUGACUUUUCUGCCUCCUAUACAGUUACUACUAUAGAGACCCCAACUAUUCAAAUAUUGAGAUAACAUAUAAUAAUGAAGAGAAAGGUAGUUAAUUUUAUGUAAAUGUUUUGAUGCUUGAUAUAUAAUACGUAAGAGUAAAUACAAGUUUAAGUGGCUUAAUUCUACCUGUGAAAAAUAAGGGAAGAGAUGUCCUACCUUUCCUUUUUUUUAGACAUUUACUUUAGAAAAUUUGUGGUUAUUUUCCUUCCAUCUCUUUAAAAUGUAUGUAAAUCUUUUUAAAGGCUAAAUAAGCCCCUUGUCAUUUUUACAAUCUGGGAAUGUCUUUCUCUAGGACCUGGGAGUCCUCUCUGAAAUGUAAUCAUUAAAGAAGAUAGUACUCCUAUAUCCCAAUUUCUGUGGGCAGGUAGGAGGAGCCCAACCUUGGCCAACUUGCAGAACUACCUCCUGUUAUAAAGCAUCAACUAAACGGUUACUAAAUGGCCAUAAGAGUCUGUGUCAGUAGGAAUCUGGAAACCUGGGAUCUCCUCCAACCGUACUAAGUGCUAACUGGAACUUCUCAUUAAGAAUAUAACUCCAAGAAGGUAGAGAUUUUUACCUGUUUGUUCACUCUUGAAUCUUCAGUGCCAAAACACAAGCAUAUAAUGCCUUUGAAAAUAAAGCAAUUUUCCAUGAUACACUAUUUGCAUCCUGCUGAGAACAAGUGUGUAUUGAGAAUAAAAACAUGCCAAACAUAAGGAAAGUUGCCCUUUGUCUGAAUCUUGAGCCUUUUGAAAUUAAACUAUGAAAUUAAUUGAUUCACAAAUAUUACUAUGUGCCAACAGAAUUAAAAGAUCGUGAUUAAUUUCUUGAAGUCAGAAUCACAUGCUGACCUUUAUAUAUGUAUAUGAAGAGGAUGCUACCUGCUGUCCUUCCUUUCUAGAGCAUAUAAUUUAAAUAGUUUAAUGAAAACUUAUUAAAAACCAACUGUUGGGGC
Molecule: long non-coding RNA, 1135 nt
Organism: Neofelis nebulosa (Clouded leopard)
Lineage: Eukaryota; Metazoa; Chordata; Mammalia; Carnivora; Felidae
Exons: 4
Source: RefSeq, a predicted model, not a curated record